RNAcentral lists this transfer RNA (74 nucleotides) under Rhypophila decipiens. RNAcentral's name for it is "tRNA-Asn". It matches the Rfam family "tRNA". From Rfam's summary of the family: Transfer RNA (tRNA) molecules are approximately 80 nucleotides in length. Their secondary structure includes four short double-helical elements and three loops (D, anti-codon, and T loops). The record is from RNAcentral. RNAcentral also lists the same sequence under 3 other names. Lineage: Eukaryota; Fungi; Ascomycota; Sordariomycetes; Sordariales; Naviculisporaceae.
UCCUCUGUGGCGCAAUUGGCUAGCGCGUCUGACUGUUAAUCAGGAGGUUGGAAGUUCAAGCCUUCCCGGAGGAG